CUCCCUUGGGUGAACGAUUUGGGUGUGUAUUGUGUUGAAUUGAAGACGCAGCGGGAAUAUCGAGCGGGUACUACUACAGAUCAAGAGAAUCAGGAUGGAGAUCGAGCUGCGUAGAGUAGCUGCAAUUGUGUCGAUCUAAAUUACUUUGUGAGGUGUAUUAUGCUCAUUUAGAGCUUUACAAUAUUGCUUGUGAGAGUGAAUUGUAAUAAUGAACUCGAGGUUUCGAGAUUUGGAGUUUGUGUACCGUGUGGUGAGGUUAUAUUGAGAAAAAAAUUCAGAACG
Rosa rugosa (rugosa rose) is the source of this 282-nucleotide long non-coding RNA. RefSeq lists it as uncharacterized. Lineage: Eukaryota; Viridiplantae; Streptophyta; Magnoliopsida; Rosales; Rosaceae. The transcript is spliced from 2 exons. The record is from RefSeq and is a predicted model, not a curated record.